Molecule: ribosomal RNA, 158 nt
Filed under: uncultured anaerobic bacterium
Lineage: Bacteria
Description: partial 16S ribosomal RNA
Rfam family: Bacterial small subunit ribosomal RNA
Source: RNAcentral
UGUGGGUAUAUAUAUUGCACAAUGGGCGAAAGCCUGAUGCAGCAGCGCCGCGUGAGCGAUGAAGGCCUUGUGGUCGUAAAGCUCUGUCUCAAUGGAAGAUGAUGACGGUACUUGAGGAGGAGCCCCGGCUAACUACGUGCCAGCAGCCCCGGUAUUAA